Molecule: non-coding RNA, 659 nt
Organism: Callithrix jacchus (white-tufted-ear marmoset)
Lineage: Eukaryota; Metazoa; Chordata; Mammalia; Primates; Cebidae
Source: RefSeq, a predicted model, not a curated record
GCAGGUAUGAGGUAGAUGACAUCGAUGAAGAAGGCAAAGAGACACAAGACCCACUACCCUGAGCUGGUGUGGGUCAUCCCGCUGCCCCAGUGGAAGGCCAACCCCGAGACGGACUCCAAGAGCUUGUUUGGACCAUGGCAGGGCAUGGAGCCCGAGUGAGGCAGGAUAGGCCAUGAAGGAGACAACGACGUUCUGGGGAUGCUGCCACCCUGGUGACCGCAUAGCCAACAUAGUAAGCCUGAGCAUUCGCCUGGUCACUGAGCUCAUUCAAGCAAAGCUAUCUCCAGUAGAACUUCCCCUUUUGAGAACGUGUGUGUUUGGAUUUUACCUGUCCUCAAACUGACCCUUUGCUCAUUUUAAUAGUAAAAAUACACCUCUGGGUGGAGACUUAAAAUGCUAUUGAGACAUUCGUCCUAGGAACAAGCAUGCAUAGCAAAUGCCCAUGUACACCCAGAACCACCCAGAAUAUGCUUACUAGUGACUCCUCUUCCCACCCUUAUGAACAAUUGUGUAAGACUCCCAACACGGGGGUUUUUCCUGCAGUAAUCAACACUGUCUCACCCCGACGAACAGCCUGUUCUGAACUCUCCAAGGUAUAUUGCCCAUUUUGUACUUUCAAAAUACUGUUUGUCUCUUGCAAUAAGUUACUCUGUGCUGCA